RNAcentral lists this ribosomal RNA (406 nucleotides) under uncultured bacterium. RNAcentral's name for it is "partial 16S ribosomal RNA". It matches the Rfam family "Bacterial small subunit ribosomal RNA", at positions 30 to 526 of the family's 1533-position model. The record is from RNAcentral.
AUUGAACGCUGGCGGCAGGCCUAACACAUGCAAGUCGAACGAGUGGCGGACGGGUGAGUAAUGUCUGGGAAACUGACUGGUGGAGGGGGAUAAGUACUGGAAACGGUAGCUAAUACCGCAUACCAUCAGAUGUGCCCAGGUGGGAUUAGCGUGUUGGUGGGGUAACGGCACACCAAGGCGACGAUCUCUAGCUGGUUGGAGAGGAUGACCAGCCACACUGGAACGGAGACACGGUCCAGACUCCUACGGGAGGCAGCAGUGGGGAAUAUUGCACAAUGGGCGCAAGCCUGAUGCAGCCAUGCCGCGUGUAUGAAGAAGGCCUUCGGGUUGUAAAGUACUUUCAGCGGGGAGGCGUUACCCGCAGAAGAAGCACCGGCUAACUCCGUGCCAGCAGCCGCGGUAAUAC